Molecule: ribosomal RNA, 253 nt
Filed under: uncultured bacterium
Lineage: Bacteria
Description: partial 16S ribosomal RNA
Rfam family: Bacterial small subunit ribosomal RNA
Source: RNAcentral
UACGUAGGGGGCAAGCGUUGUCCGGAUUUAUUGGGCGUAAAGCGCGUGUAGGCGGCCAGGUAGGUCGGUUGUGAAAAUUGGAGGCUCAACCUCCAGACGUCGAUCGAAACCAUCUGGCUAGAGUCUGGUAGGGGGAUCUGGAAUUCCUGGUGUAGCGGUGGAAUGCGCAGAUAUCAGGAGGAACACCGGUGGCGAAGGCGGGAUCCUGGGCCAGUACUGACGCUGAGGAGCGAAAGCGUGGGGAGCAAACAGG